UACGGAGGAUCCAAGCGUUAUCCGGAUUUAUUGGGUUUAAAGGGAGCGUAGGCGGCCUGUUAAGUCAGGGGUGAAAGACGGUGGCUCAACCAUCGCAGUGCCUUUGAUACUGACAGGCUUGAAUGUAGUUGAGGUGGGCGGAAUGUGACAAGUAGCGGUGAAAUGCAUAGAUAUGUCACAGAACACCGAUCGCGAAGGCAGCUCACUAAGCUAUGAUUGACGCUGAGGCUCGAAAGCGUGGGGAGCAAACAGG
RNAcentral lists this ribosomal RNA (253 nucleotides) under uncultured bacterium. Its description in RNAcentral is "partial 16S ribosomal RNA". It matches the Rfam family "Bacterial small subunit ribosomal RNA", at positions 524 to 776 of the family's 1533-position model. The record is from RNAcentral.